Molecule: long non-coding RNA, 565 nt
Filed under: Olea europaea subsp. europaea
Lineage: Eukaryota; Viridiplantae; Streptophyta; Magnoliopsida; Lamiales; Oleaceae
Source: RNAcentral
UUGUUUUCAAUUAGUUUUGCUUAGAUGAUAAUUGUUACUUUAUACUAACUGCUAGUGACUUUAUUGUGAAGGAGAACUUGACAGGCAAAAUUCUACUUCGAGGUGCGGUUGAAAAUGGCCUAUAUCCAAUAGCUAGGUGCAAGACAUCUCUAAGAGCCUCAUGUGUCAUUCUGCAAACAUAGGGGUUCAAGCUAAUACAGAAACCUGGCACUCUAGACUAGGCCAUCCUUCUAGUGUUGUUUUAGAUGUUUUAUUUCGUUCCAAUAAACUCUCUGUCAAAGGCCAUGCAAACAAAAUUGAUUUUUGCUCAGCUUGUCAACUCGGCAAAGCCAAGCAACUCCCCUUUUCAGAGUCUAGUAGUUAGUCUAGCUUUAGUCCACUCGGAUGUAUGGGUUUCUCCUGUAAAAUCGAUUGGUGGAUGUAAGUACUACGUUUUAUUUGUUGAUGAUUAUUCAUGGUUUGAUCCUUUACAACAAAAAAUCUGAUGUGUUUGCCACUUUUGUCAAGUUUAAAACAAUUGCGGAAAAAAUUUUCUCCACCUUAAUUAAACAAAUACAAACAGAUA